Molecule: ribosomal RNA, 562 nt
Filed under: Lactiplantibacillus plantarum
Lineage: Bacteria; Bacillati; Bacillota; Bacilli; Lactobacillales; Lactobacillaceae
Description: bacterial SSU rRNA
Rfam family: Bacterial small subunit ribosomal RNA
Source: RNAcentral
GCAUGUGGUUUAAUUCGAAGCUACGCGAAGAACCUUACCAGGUCUUGACAUACUAUGCAAAUCUAAGAGAUUAGACGUUCCUUUCGGGGACAUGGAUACAGGUGGUGCAUGGUUGUCGUCAGCUCGUGUCGUGAGAUGUUGGGUUAAGUCCCGCAACGAGCGCAACCCUUAUUAUCAGUUGCCAGCAUUAAGUUGGGCACUCUGGUGAGACUGCCGGUGACAAACCGGAGGAAGGUGGGGAUGACGUCAAAUCAUCAUGCCCCUUAUGACCUGGGCUACACACGUGCUACAAUGGAUGGUACAACGAGUUGCGAACUCGCGAGAGUAAGCAAAUUUUUAAAGCCAUUCUCAGUUCGGAUUGUAGGCUGCAACUCGCCUACAUGAAGUCGGAAUCGCUAGUAAUCGCGGAUCAGCAUGCCGCGGUGAAUACGUUCCCGGGCCUUGUACACACCGCCCGUCACACCAUGAGAGUUUGUAACACCCAAAGUCGGUGGGGUAACCUUUUAGGAACCAGCCGCCUAAGGUGGGACAGAUGAUUAGGGGAAGUUUUAAACAAGGGGGC